RNAcentral lists this long non-coding RNA (698 nucleotides) under Solanum tuberosum (potato). RNAcentral describes it as "long non-coding RNA (STUB_LNC004440)". Lineage: Eukaryota; Viridiplantae; Streptophyta; Magnoliopsida; Solanales; Solanaceae. The record is from RNAcentral.
CCCCUCCAUACUCAAGCAAAUCAAUAACAAUUGCCUAAACAUGCUCAAUCUCACGAGAGAAAGCCAUAGCCUACCUGAAAGCCGAUCACGCGUGCUCCGACUCACGGUACCGGAUCUUUUCCUCUUCGAACGGUCUCCAAAUGCUUCCCCACUAACAACAGGUUAAUCACCUCGUCAUUACUAAUAUAUUGACACUAAAAUUAUAUUUUUCGGAGACGGACCCAAGAUCGGGUCUAAAACGGGAUUGUGGGGCCCACACUUAGAAUCUCAAAAUCGAAUCCGUGGAAACGUCCCAACUACCUUACUAAACUAAUAUCCCAAAAUUUUAGCACAAACAGAUGCCUACAACACCGCAAAUCAGCCACAAUAAUUAAAAAGGGCAGCCCCUUGAUCACCAAUUUUCGGAAAAACGAAACCCUUUCAACCCAAACAGAUUAUACCUCGACGAUCCUUGCGAAAAACUCUACAAGUUAGCCCCAAGAAUGACUCAAAACGGACUUACGAUUAUCAAGAUCUCACAUUUCAAAAUUCAACAACAAUACAAUCCGGAAAUCACCCUGGCAGUGGCUAAAAUCAAUUCCUUACCUCAAACGAAGCCUCCCCUCGCGUUUCUGAGAUCACUGCUAGAUUCCCCUCGAAAUUCUCUUGAAGUUUGCCUUUUGAAUCACUUAAUUUGGACUCAAAAUGAAGGAGCAAUC